GGGGAAUCUUCCGCAAUGGGCGAAAGCCUGACGGAGCAAUACCGCGUGAGGGAGGAAGGCUCUUGGGUUGUAAACCUCUUUUCUCAAGGAAGAAGAAAGUGACGGUACUUGAGGAAUAAGCAUCGGCUAACUCCGUGCCAGCAGCCGCGGUAAUACGGAGGAUGCAAGCGUUAUCCGGAAUGAUUGGGCGUAAAGCGUCCGCAGGUGGGUGUUCAAGUCUGCUGUCAAAGGUCGGAGCUCAACUCCGGAAAGGCAGUGGAAACUGAACAGCUAGAGUGCGGUAGGGGUAGAGGGAAUUCCCAGUGUAGCGGUGAAAUGCGUAGAGAUUGGAAGAACACCGGUGGCGAAAGCGCUCUACUGGACCGCAACUGACACUCAGGACGAAAGCUAGGGGAGCGAAUGGGAUAGAUACCCCAGUAGUCCUAGCCGUAAACGAUGGAUACUAGGUGUUGCUGGUAUCGACCCCAGCAGUAUCGUAGCUAACGCGUUAAGUAUCCCGCCUGGGGAGUACGCGCGCAAGCGUGAAACUCAAAGGAAUUGACGGGGGCCCGCACAAGCGGUGGAGUAUGUGGUUUAAUUCGAUGCAACGCGAAGAACCUUACCAGGACUUGACAUGUCGCGAAUUUCUGGGAGACCAGGAAGUGCCUUCGGGAGCGCGAACACAGGUGGUGCAUGGCUGUCGUCAGCUCGUGUCGUGAGAUGUUGGGUUAAGUCCCGCAACGAGCGCAACCCUCGUUCUUAGUUGCCAGCAUUAAGUUGGGCACUCUAGGGAGACUGCCGGUGACAAACCGGAGGAGGGUGGGGAUGACGUCAAGUCAGCAUGCCCCUUACGUCCUGGGCUACACACGUACUACAAUGCUACGGACAAAGGGCCGCCAGACAGCGAUGUCGAGCAAAUCCCACAAACCGUGGCUCAGUUCAGAUUGCAGGCUGCAACUCGCCUGCAUGAAGGCGGAAUCGCUAGUAAUCGCAGCUCAGCCAUACUGCGGUGAAUACGUUCCCGGGCCUUGUACACACCGCCCGUCACACCAUGGAAGCUGGUAGUGCCCGAAGUCGUUACCCUAACCUUUUGGAGGGGGAUGCCGAAGGCAGGACUGGUGACUGGGGUGAAGUCGUAACAAGGUAGCCGUACCGGAAGGUGUGGCUGGAUCACCUCCUU
RNAcentral lists this ribosomal RNA (1159 nucleotides) under cyanobacterium NQ1K_cl_15_3b. RNAcentral's name for it is "bacterial SSU rRNA". It matches the Rfam family "Bacterial small subunit ribosomal RNA", at positions 356 to 1532 of the family's 1533-position model. Lineage: Bacteria; Bacillati; Cyanobacteriota. The record is from RNAcentral.